CGAGACCAACUGAUAAAGGCGUCCCAUCUGGACGCCCUUAUCAGUCCUGGGGGAAAAACAAGAGCCAAGGGUGAGAGGUGGCCAUGAGGUCAGGGAAACCCCUGCAGAAUUCUCAGGAGAGGGAAAUCUUCAGAGCUGUGGCUUUGGCUUAGUUUGUCUUCCCACCAGCCACCUGUCCUGGAGCUGGAGAUGCUUAAGUUUAAACCAGAGACUUUGGAUAUUUUCCCUGAGUGACAUAAUCCUUGUCUUUCUCUCCUGGAAUCGUGGGUCCAGACCAUCACAGUGAUCCAGUCGGCCCCCUCUCCUUCUUCUCUCACUCCAAUCUCUCUCCCUGAGCUGGACUCUCCGCCC
RNAcentral lists this long non-coding RNA (351 nucleotides) under Homo sapiens (human). Its description in RNAcentral is "HSALNT0104310". Lineage: Eukaryota; Metazoa; Chordata; Mammalia; Primates; Hominidae. The record is from RNAcentral.